This 958-nucleotide ribosomal RNA is filed under the name Salmonella enterica. RNAcentral's name for it is "partial 23S ribosomal RNA". It matches the Rfam family "Bacterial large subunit ribosomal RNA", at positions 744 to 1616 of the family's 2925-position model. The record is from RNAcentral. Lineage: Bacteria; Pseudomonadati; Pseudomonadota; Gammaproteobacteria; Enterobacterales; Enterobacteriaceae. RNAcentral also lists the same sequence under 1 other name.
GUUGAAGGUUGGGUAACACUAACUGGAGGACCGAACCGACUAAUGUUGAAAAAUUAGCGGAUGACCUGUGGCUGGGGGUGAAAGGCCAAUCAAACCGGGAGAUAGCUGGUUCUCCCCGAAAGCUAUUUAGGUAGCGCCUCGUGAAUUCAUCUCCGGGGGUAGAGCACUGUUUCGGCUAGGGGGCCAUCCCGGCUUACCAACCCGAUGCAAACUGCGAAUACCGGAGAAUGUUAUCACGGGAGACACACGGCGGGUGCUAACGUCCGUCGUGAAGAGGGAAACAACCCAGACCGCCAGCUAAGGUCCCAAAGUCAUGGUUAAGUGGGAAACGAUGUGGGAAGGCCCAGACAGCCAGGAUGUUGGCUUAGAAGCAGCCAUCAUUUAAAGAAAGCGUAAUAGCUCACUGGUCGAGUCGGCCUGCGCGGAAGAUGUAACGGGGCUAAACCAUGCACCGAAGCUGCGGCAGCGAACGUAUCACCCAAGACAACUUUACGGAGUUGACGAUUGACGGAGCGAAGCGACGUCAAAGCGUUCAUUAAAGUCGAGUUGGCUUAGGGAUACGUUCGUUGGGUAGGGGAGCGUUCUGUAAGCCUGUGAAGGUGUGUCGUGAGGCAUGCUGGAGGUAUCAGAAGUGCGAAUGCUGACAUAAGUAACGAUAAAGCGGGUGAAAAGCCCGCUCGCCGGAAGACCAAGGGUUCCUGUCCAACGUUAAUCGGGGCAGGGUGAGUCGACCCCUAAGGCGAGGCCGAAAGGCGUAGUCGAUGGGAAACGGGUUAAUAUUCCCGUACUUGGUGUUACUGCGAAGGGGGGACGGAGAAGGCUAUGUUGGCCGGGCGACGGUUGUCCCGGUUUAAGCGUGUAGGUGUGUGUUCCAGGUAAAUCCGGUUCACUUUAACACUGAGGCGUGACGACGAGGCACUACGGUGCUGAAGCAACAAAUGCCCUGCUUCCAGGAAAA